RNAcentral lists this ribosomal RNA (121 nucleotides) under Helianthus annuus (common sunflower). Lineage: Eukaryota; Viridiplantae; Streptophyta; Magnoliopsida; Asterales; Asteraceae. The record is from RNAcentral.
ACGUGGAGAGUGUAAUGCACCGGAUCACAUCAAAACUCCGCAGUUAAGCGUGCUUGGACGAGAGUAGUACUAGAAAGAGUUGUAUCGGUUCAUGCUUAGCACCAGAUGCGUGUCGUCGGCU